UUUAUAAAUAUUAAAAUAUAAUAAAUUAUAAAAUUUUAAAUAUUUUUUAAAAAUUUAUUUUAAAAAAUAUUAUGUAGUCAUUAUGUAUCUAAUUUGGAUAUCGGGAUGUGACAAAAAAAUUCAUCAUCAUUUUAUAAAUGCAAUGAUGGAACAGUUGGCUGUCUCUGUUCCUUCCAUAUUGGCUGUCUUUUGUUCUUCAUGGC
Molecule: long non-coding RNA, 203 nt
Filed under: Elaeis guineensis (African oil palm)
Lineage: Eukaryota; Viridiplantae; Streptophyta; Magnoliopsida; Arecales; Arecaceae
Description: long non-coding RNA (EGUI_LNC074286)
Source: RNAcentral